CCGUCUGGUACUGCGGAGGGACAU
This 24-nucleotide ribosomal RNA is filed under the name Trichoderma harzianum. RNAcentral's name for it is "partial 18S ribosomal RNA". The record is from RNAcentral. Lineage: Eukaryota; Fungi; Ascomycota; Sordariomycetes; Hypocreales; Hypocreaceae.